GGGUUGUGAGGUUAAGCGACUAAGCGUACACGGUGGAUGCCCUGGCAGUCAGAGGCGAUGAAGGACGUGCUAAUCUGCGAUAAGCGUCGGUAAGGUGAUAUGAACCGUUAUAACCGGCGAUUUCCGAAUGGGGAAACCCAGUGUGAUUCGUCACACUAUCAUUAACUGAAUCCAUAGGUUAAUGAGGCGAACCGGGGGAACUGAAACAUCUAAGUACCCCGAGGAAAAGAAAUCAACCGAGAUUCCCCCAGUAGCGGCGAGCGAACGGGGAGGAGCCCAGAGCCUGAAUCAGUGUGUGUGUUAGUGGAAGCGUCUGGAAAGGCGCGCGAUACAGGGUGACAGCCCCGUACACAAAAAUGCACAUGCUGUGAGCUCGAUGAGUAGGGCGGGACACGUGGUAUCCUGUCUGAAUAUGGGGGGACCAUCCUCCAAGGCUAAAUACUCCUGACUGACCGAUAGUGAACCAGUACCGUGAGGGAAAGGCGAAAAGAACCCCGGCGAGGGGAGUGAAAAAGAACCUGAAACCGUGUACGUACAAGCAGUGGGAGCCUCUUUAUGGGGUGACUGCGUACCUUUUGUAUAAUGGGUCAGCGACUUAUAUUCUGUAGCAAGGUUAACCGAAUAGGGGAGCCGAAGGGAAACCGAGUCUUAACUGGGCGUUAAGUUGCAGGGUAUAGACCCGAAACCCGGUGAUCUAGCCAUGGGCAGGUUGAAGGUUGGGUAACACUAACUGGAGGACCGAACCGACUAAUGUUGAAAAAUUAGCGGAUGACUUGUGGCUGGGGGUGAAAGGCCAAUCAAACCGGGAGAUAGCUGGUUCUCCCCGAAAGCUAUUUAGGUAGCGCCUCGUGAAUUCAUCUCCGGGGGUAGAGCACUGUUUCGGCAAGGGGGUCAUCCCGACUUACCAACCCGAUGCAAACUGCGAAUACCGGAGAAUGUUAUCACGGGAGACACACGGCGGGUGCUAACGUCCGUCGUGAAGAGGGAAACAACCCAGACCGCCAGCUAAGGUCCCAAAGUCAUGGUUAAGUGGGAAACGAUGUGGGAAGGCCCAGACAGCCAGGAUGUUGGCUUAGAAGCAGCCAUCAUUUAAAGAAAGCGUAAUAGCUCACUGGUCGAGUCGGCCUGCGCGGAAGAUGUAACGGGGCUAAACCAUGCACCGAAGCUGCGGCAGCGACGCUUAUGCGUUGUUGGGUAGGGGAGCGUUCUGUAAGCCUGCGAAGGUGUACUGUGAGGUAUGCUGGAGGUAUCAGAAGUGCGAAUGCUGACAUAAGUAACGAUAAAGCGGGUGAAAAGCCCGCUCGCCGGAAGACCAAGGGUUCCUGUCCAACGUUAAUCGGGGCAGGGUGAGUCGACCCCUAAGGCGAGGCCGAAAGGCGUAGUCGAUGGGAAACAGGUUAAUAUUCCUGUACUUGGUGUUACUGCGAAGGGGGGACGGAGAAGGCUAUGUUGGCCGGGCGACGGUUGUCCCGGUUUAAGCGUGUAGGCUGGUUUUCCAGGCAAAUCCGGAAAAUCAAGGCUGAGGCGUGAUGACGAGGCACUACGGUGCUGAAGCAACAAAUGCCCUGCUUCCAGGAAAAGCCUCUAAGCAUCAGGUAACAUCAAAUCGUACCCCAAACCGACACAGGUGGUCAGGUAGAGAAUACCAAGGCGCUUGAGAGAACUCGGGUGAAGGAACUAGGCAAAAUGGUGCCGUAACUUCGGGAGAAGGCACGCUGAUAUGUAGGUGAAGCGACUUGCUCGUGGAGCUGAAAUCAGUCGAAGAUACCAGCUGGCUGCAACUGUUUAUUAAAAACACAGCACUGUGCAAACACGAAAGUGGACGUAUACGGUGUGACGCCUGCCCGGUGCCGGAAGGUUAAUUGAUGGGGUUAGCGGUAACGCGAAGCUCUUGAUCGAAGCCCCGGUAAACGGCGGCCGUAACUAUAACGGUCCUAAGGUAGCGAAAUUCCUUGUCGGGUAAGUUCCGACCUGCACGAAUGGCGUAAUGAUGGCCAGGCUGUCUCCACCCGAGACUCAGUGAAAUUGAACUCGCUGUGAAGAUGCAGUGUACCCGCGGCAAGACGGAAAGACCCCGUGAACCUUUACUAUAGCUUGACACUGAACAUUGAGCCUUGAUGUGUAGGAUAGGUGGGAGGCUUUGAAGUGUGGACGCCAGUCUGCAUGGAGCCGACCUUGAAAUACCACCCUUUAAUGUUUGAUGUUCUAACGUUGGCCCCUAAUCGGGGUUGCGGACAGUGUCUGGUGGGUAGUUUGACUGGGGCGGUCUCCUCCUAAAGAGUAACGGAGGAGCACGAAGGUUGGCUAAUCCUGGUCGGACAUCAGGAGGUUAGUGCAAUGGCAUAAGCCAGCUUGACUGCGAGCGUGACGGCGCGAGCAGGUGCGAAAGCAGGUCAUAGUGAUCCGGUGGUUCUGAAUGGAAGGGCCAUCGCUCAACGGAUAAAAGGUACUCCGGGGAUAACAGGCUGAUACCGCCCAAGAGUUCAUAUCGACGGCGGUGUUUGGCACCUCGAUGUCGGCUCAUCACAUCCUGGGGCUGAAGUAGGUCCCAAGGGUAUGGCUGUUCGCCAUUUAAAGUGGUACGCGAGCUGGGUUUAGAACGUCGUGAGACAGUUCGGUCCCUAUCUGCCGUGGGCGCUGGAGAACUGAGGGGGGCUGCUCCUAGUACGAGAGGACCGGAGUGGACGCAUCACUGGUGUUCGGGUUGUCAUGCCAAUGGCACUGCCCGGUAGCUAAAUGCGGAAGAGAUAAGUGCUGAAAGCAUCUAAGCACGAAACUUGCCCCGAGAUGAGUUCUCCCUGACUCCUUGAGAGUCCUGAAGGAACGUUGAAGACGACGACGUUGAUAGGCCGGGUGUGUAAGCGCAGCGAUGCGUUGAGCUAACCGGUACUAAUGAACCGUGAGGCUUAACCUUACAACGCCGAAG
This 2926-nucleotide ribosomal RNA is filed under the name Escherichia coli. Its description in RNAcentral is "bacterial LSU rRNA". It matches the Rfam family "Bacterial large subunit ribosomal RNA". The record is from RNAcentral. Lineage: Bacteria; Pseudomonadati; Pseudomonadota; Gammaproteobacteria; Enterobacterales; Enterobacteriaceae.